GAGAGAUACAGGCUUGCAAACAGUGAGAAUCCAGCAAAGGCAUGUACUUUCAUAUAGUUUUUUUAGAAUAUUUAUUUUUCCAGUCAGCCAGCUUCAUGAGUUAUUUCAGGCCAUGGUAUGUUGCCUGCUUGUUGAUCAGAUGCACAGCGUGAUAAUGACUUGGGAAAAAAAAGAAAAAAGAGAGAAAUGACUUACUGCUGGCCCCUGCAGAUUGUUUGUAAUUGGAUGUAAGUGAUUAAAGUUGUGCGGUGUGCACCCUGCGCGAUCCUUGCCUGGGUGUGUUUUGGUGAUGUGGUGGAUGAGUGUCUGUGCUGGGAGCAGCCUGUGUGGAUUGCUUCAGUGCUUGAUGUGGCAAAGGCAACCUCAGAUGGUCUGGUCUCAAGCAGCGUCCCAUCAAAGAGCACCACCUGCAUCUCACAGUGGCAUGGUGAGAGAGGUGGGGAGGCAGAAGGGGGGAGAACAGUAUCCAAAGAACAUUAGUUUCAUUUGAGGGGAGGAAACAACCCAUGUUACAUGCAAAAGCAAUGAGUUUUAAUAGCUUUUAAUAUGUUUUUAAACAUUUCCAUCACCCUCUAUAUUUUCAGACACAGCUUGGCAAUAAAUCAAAGUAAAAGCAAACA
Molecule: long non-coding RNA, 620 nt
Filed under: Anser brachyrhynchus (Pink-footed goose)
Lineage: Eukaryota; Metazoa; Chordata; Aves; Anseriformes; Anatidae
Description: lncRNA (ENSABRG00000022900.1)
Source: RNAcentral